RNAcentral lists this unclassified non-coding RNA (513 nucleotides) under Hevea brasiliensis (rubber tree). The record is from RNAcentral. Lineage: Eukaryota; Viridiplantae; Streptophyta; Magnoliopsida; Malpighiales; Euphorbiaceae.
AUCAGAACAAAAAUGUAAUACAAAUUUCUAAAUGCAAAUGGAAAAAACCAACAAUUACAACAAUCACCAACAAACAAAUAAGAAUCAAAUCAAUUUCCGUUCCAAAAGCUUAAUCCAGAACAUAAACGGUCGAUGUUUAGCCAUGCAAAGUAAAUUUCAGUAACCAGCAGGAGUUGGUUUAGGCUCCGAAGUGUGGAAGAAGGGCCCAACAUAGUAUAACUUGAUCUUCUUGUCAUGGAGGAUACGGUAAGAAGAAAAGAGAGCACCAGUAAUGCCCUUGUUGACACCUGUAGGGAUAUUACAGGUUUCCAAUGGAGAUUUUUGGAGCUUAACUUUGCAGUUCCUGACCUUCAAAUUGUCUUCAAGCCCUAAAAGAGACAGUGUCUUGAAGAAGUAUCCCUUUGCAUCAGUUGCACUGGUCAGACAGGAGAAAGAUGUUGUCUCGUACCCAUUCUGAUCCAAAGCUGAACACGUUAUCCUUACCACAGCUCCUGUACUCACAAAGGAAAUGAA